Non-coding RNA from Pelobates cultripes (western spadefoot toad), 269 nucleotides. The record is from the annotation of a GenBank genome assembly. Lineage: Eukaryota; Metazoa; Chordata; Amphibia; Anura; Pelobatidae.
UACCCUUUAGUGGGAUUGCCAUAUUUAUUAACCCCUUAAGGACCAAACUUCUGAAAUAAAAGGGAAUCAUGACAUGUCACACAUGUCAUGUGUCCUUAAGGGGUUAAAGUAGGGUGCUGUAUAACAGAUAGCUACCUUAUUAAUCCUUAAAUAUGGCAAUUCCACAUAAGCAUACCAAAUUAGGAAGUUAUCUACUAAACUACUGAAAGAUCAUAAAAGAUCAGAACAAAACUCUUCUAUAAAUUUUGAUCUUUCAGCUGUAUUUAGAU